This 925-nucleotide long non-coding RNA is filed under the name Anser cygnoides (Swan goose). RNAcentral's name for it is "lncRNA (ENSACDG00005017770.1)". The record is from RNAcentral. Lineage: Eukaryota; Metazoa; Chordata; Aves; Anseriformes; Anatidae.
AAGGCAUUUCAUACUUGUGUUAGUGUGCACUAGUCUCAUCAAUUUUGCUCUGUUUCAUCAUUCUAGAUUAAUAAAAUUCAGCCUAACAUUUUUAUUUUAUUUUUUCCUAAGACCAUAAAAGGUACUUAUUAGUAGGAGAGAGAUGUUUAUUUAGAGAAAUGCCUGGAAAAGAGAUGCUAAGGAGUAAAUAACUCUGUUUUAACAGAAACUACCAGUUGAACCAUGUUGAACAUAGUGCUGCUCAAAUUUAUGCCACUAAAAGGACACCAAUGCCUACACUAAUGAAAAUGGAGGCAACAUGCCUCUUUUUGUUGUGUUCUAUAAAUAAACCUAAUAUAUCAAUACACAUAUUUAAUACAAAAAUAUUGAGAAAUUAUUCAACAUUUUUGUGUUGUGUGCCUCUGUAUUUAAAGCUGCCCAAAGAGAGAAAUACUAAUUUUGAUCAAUAAUUAAAUUGAUAAAAUAGCAACUUACUUCAAUCUAUUUAAUGAAAUGCUUUAUUUAAUAAGCUGUAUAACUGGCCGGCAGCUGUAUAAAUUUGGCCCGGCCGCUAUCCUGUCCACAUGCAGCCGUCAGCCCAGCACAGCCUCGGUGAUCACCGAAGGGAAGGGAACGAAGGGAAGGGAGGAAGCGGAGUGGGAGCCGCGCAGCAUGGGGCCAGGAGAUCACCGGCUUGGUGGAGAAUGAAGCAGCAAAAUCAGAUGUUUCAUCAUGUAGGGAAGAACCAGAAAAAUGUUCUCCUGAAUGUGAUCAUCUUGUCUUUCAACAGAAAAUGUGCCGAGUCAGAAAUUGCUUUCUGUAUUCCUGACUUGAAAAAAAAAAGUGUGUACCUGUUUUCUCUUCCCUUGUCAAGACAAAAACUUUAUCACACCUGACUGGAUGAAGCCUAAAUAAAUCAGCUGUAUUUUAUGAAUUUUAAAAAUAU